UACAGAGGUGCCAAGCGUUGUUCGGAUUUAUUGGGCGUAAAGGGCGCGUAGGCGGUGUGUCAAGUCAGGCGUGAAAGCCCCGGGCUCAACCUGGGAACCGCGCUUGAGACUGGCACGCUAGAGUUCGGGAGAGGAUGGUGGAAUUCCCAGUGUAGAGGUGAAAUUCGUAGAUAUUGGGAAGAACACCGAUGGCGAAGGCAGCCAUCUGGACCGACACUGACGCUGAGGCGCGAAAGCGUGGGGAGCAAACAGG
RNAcentral lists this ribosomal RNA (253 nucleotides) under uncultured bacterium. Its description in RNAcentral is "partial 16S ribosomal RNA". It matches the Rfam family "Bacterial small subunit ribosomal RNA", at positions 524 to 776 of the family's 1533-position model. The record is from RNAcentral.